Molecule: long non-coding RNA, 2997 nt
Filed under: Ananas comosus (pineapple)
Lineage: Eukaryota; Viridiplantae; Streptophyta; Magnoliopsida; Poales; Bromeliaceae
Description: long non-coding RNA (ACOM_LNC017351)
Source: RNAcentral
GGGACACAUUUACAAUUAACCCAAACCAUAAACAAACCCCUUCUCUCUUUCUCUUCCCCCUCUCUCUCUCUCUCCGACUCUUUCUCUCUCUCUCCUAGGGUUUCUCUCUCUCCCCCUCUCUCUCUUCUCCACGGAGGCGGCGAGGGAUCCCUCUCUCUUCCCUAGGUGCGGCGGCGUCGACCCCGUCUCCCUCCGCCGCAGCCGCCGCCGCCGCCGCCGCUUUCGAGGCGAAGCUUCAUCCAAAGGUUCGCCCUAGGGUUAGUAGGGCCCUUUCUCAAUCCACCUUAUCCGCUUUAAUCUCCCCCUUUUUGUUCUUAAAUCGACUUGUGAAUGUGGCGAAGCAUCCAUCUUGUAAGCUGUGGUUGAAGCUUAAUUGUGUAUUAUCAGCAUAUGGAAGAAGAGAUUAGUUACGAAUUUUGUGGUAGAAAUAUGUAGUUUUCCGGCAUUGUAUUUUCCUGUUUCUUGGUGCUUCACAAUUCGGUCGCUAUAGCUUCGAAAUCGGUUUCGUUUUCAGCUGCUGAGAAGUAGAAUGAUAGUACGAUUGUUUUGUAUGAGACUGUGACAGAUGCAUUUUCUAGGGUUUGUAGAACUUAGAAGUUGAAGCAUUAGUUAGAGAUUUAGUAGAGCCUAGGGCGUAAGCAACCUUUAGUUCUGUAGAUAUAGAUUCAGACCUGUUUGUUUGGUUGGAAAGAAAUGGGGCAGAUAAUCUAGUUUGGACGUUGUAUGGUAUUGUAGAUAUAUAUUUGUUUUGUGUUAGGAGUAUGUUGACUAAUUUGUUUGGAUUCCUUCAUGUCUUUCAAUUAGGUCUCGUUAACUUUCUCUUGCUUAUAUAACUUAGUACUUAUUUGUAAGCAAUUUUAGCUACUAGGGGUUAUUAUGCUCAGACCAAUGUUGUCUGUUAUGGGGUAUGCUGUGGUGCAUGGUACUAGUUGAGAAUCAUGGUUUGCUUGUGCUAGGCCUUGGUUGGUUUUGUUUUGUCCAGAAUGUGGUUCAUGUUAGACCGGUUAAGCGGUUCGCGGGUUCGCCAUACUCUGCACUAAAGUCCAUAACUUGGCUUUGUUUGUGUCUGCGUUCUUUUCUUUCGUUCCGGUAAUCAUGCCCACUUAGAAUGUCCUAUCAAGUUUGGUUCCUUCUCUUUCGAGCUGAUCUUGACUCCGACAAUAUCCUCCUGAUACUAAGUUUUUCAAGUAACGUUGUACUAGUUCGUCUAGUUUUAAGGGAGAACUUUACCGUGUUUCGCUUGGUGCAGCUUGUACUGUGCGAUCAGCUUAAUCUUAUGCAGAUCCACUUGACUAGUAGAGUUGCAAUCUUACUACCUCUAACGAAAUGAAUAGAACUAUACUGAUACUAAGUUAUGCUUGAUUGGACUUUGUUAUAUAUGUUGUUUUGUAUUGAUGUUCUUUCUUAAGCACAUUGUGGCAAUACCGUUCCAACUGAUCCUGGCUCUAGCACAACCAUUUUUUUCUACCAGGUUACCAUGCUCCACAGCAUACCCCGUAACAGGUGACAUUGAGUCUUGAGCAUAAUAGCCUUUAUAUUUUUAUUUUCCUAAUAAGUCCUAUGAUAAAGCAAUAUAUAUUAUAUAUCUAAUUAUUUAUGAUCAUCUAUAUAAAUAUAGAUUAACAUACUACUUAUAUAAAUGUAAGAUUUAUAUGUAUUCGAAUUGCAUUAUUGAGUCCGAAGACGAUUGUUGCUGCAUCUUCCAAGCUCGUGUUCAGGUCGUGUUUGUCUCGUUUACCUAACCGAGCGAUUCGAUCUCGAGCUCAUUUUUAGUCGAAUACGAGCUGGCUUGCGAAUAGCGAGUUGGAUUGCCACCCCUACCGAACACGAGCCGGCCUCAGCUCACUUGUGUUCGGCUAGUUGACACUUAGUUGCAAAUAGUUGUAAUUGCAUUGUAUUUUUAUAUUAUUUAUGGUCGGUAAAAGUGUUAUUAAUUCUUUCUGUUUUUACACUAAAAUUUCGGUUGCAACCGUUACUCAGUAAUUUUGUUGCAAUAAUUUAAGGAUUAUUGCUUCAAAAGUCCUAAUUAUCAAAUGUGUUUUUCUUUAGCUUCAAAAUAAACAAAUUUUGUCUUUACCAUAAGUUAGAAUGAUAGGUAACAUAAAAAUAAAAUAUUAAAAUUGAUAAAUGAUAUAAAAUAUUAUAAAUAAAAACUAAUUAUAUUUGAUCAACUAACAGGAAGGAAUAUAUUAUUUAUAAAUUUACAAUUUUAGAGAGGUAUAUUUUUUUAAGAAACUAUUGACGGGUCGGAGUUUGGAUAAGUUUCAAGAGAAAAGCCUAACCCGAAUCCGUGAACCAACUCCGAAAUCGAACCCGAAUUCGAACCCAACGGAUUUUGAAAAUUCAUAUUCAAAAUCUAAAAUCAAACCAAACAAAAAACUUGAAACUUGAGCCUGAACCCGAACUCGAAAAUUCGAACUCGAAACAAUCAUUUUUCUUUACCAUAUUUCAAAAUUAUAUUAUAUUAAAAUAUACAAUUUUAAAAUAUAAUUCAUUCAAAUGUAACAUUAAAUGUUGAUACUAAAACAAAAUCUAUUCGGUUCGGAUCAGGAUACACAUAAAAUUCAUAUCCGAAUCUGAAUUUAUCAAAUUUUAUUUUUAUAUUCGAAAUUAUACCCACUUUCGAGUUUGGAUCCGCAUAAAAUUUUGUGCAUCCAUACCCGUUGACAUCUCCAACCGAUACAUUCUAGGGACAAGUAUAUUCAAUUUUAUUAUUUUGUAGGGACACAUUUACAAUUAACCCAAACCAUAAACAAACCCCUUCUCUCUUUCUCUUCCCCCUCUCUCUCUCUUUCCGACUCUUUCUCUCUCUCUCCUAGGGUUUCUCUCUCUCCCCCUCUCUCUCUUCUCCACGGAGGCGGCGAGGGAUCCCUCUCUCUCUUCUCCACGGAGCCGGCGAGGGAUCCCUCUCUCUUCCCUAGGUGCGGCGGCGUCGACCCCGUCUCCCUCCGCCGCAGCCGCCGCCGCCGCUUUCGAGGCGAAGCUUCAUCCAAAGGU